This 194-nucleotide non-coding RNA is filed under the name Neobacillus niacini. Lineage: Bacteria; Bacillati; Bacillota; Bacilli; Caryophanales; Bacillaceae. The record is from RNAcentral.
CUGAAGGAUUAUAUCGAAGAAUCAAAUGAUAGGGUAACGCCUUGAAGGGUUCUCUCUUAGUCGAAUAGCACUGAAUUUAGUAAGAAUGAUAGUGUUAUAAGCUCGGUGAAUAGGCGUGAGAAAUUACGGUACCAGUUCGGCUGACAAAGCCUACUCGAUGGAGUGGUGUAAUUCAUGAUGCUUGAAUUGAAUGA